This 439-nucleotide ribosomal RNA is filed under the name uncultured bacterium. RNAcentral describes it as "partial 16S ribosomal RNA". It matches the Rfam family "Bacterial small subunit ribosomal RNA", at positions 339 to 795 of the family's 1533-position model. The record is from RNAcentral.
CUACGGGAUGCACCAGUGAGGAAUAUUGCACAAUGGGGGGAACCCUGAUGCAGCAACGCCGCGUGGAGGAUGACGCAUUUCGGCGUGUAAACUCCUUUUAUAUGUCAAGAAAAUGACGGUAGCAUAUGAAUAAGCACCGGCUAACUCCGUGCCAGCAGCCGCGGUAAUACGGAGGGUGCAAGCGUUACUCGGAAUCACUGGGCGUAAAGGACGCGUAGGCGGGUUGGAAAGUCAGGUGUGAAAUCCUACAGCUUAACUGUAGAACUGCACUUGAAACUUCUAAUCUAGAGUAUGGGAGGGGAAGAUGGAAUUAGUGGUGUAGGGGUAAAAUCCGUAGAUAUCACUAGGAAUACCUAAAGCGAAGGCGAUCUCCUGGAACAUUACUGACGCUAAGGCGUGAAAGCGUGGGGAGCAAACAGGAUUAGAUACCCCUGUAGUC